This 470-nucleotide ribosomal RNA is filed under the name uncultured bacterium. RNAcentral describes it as "partial 16S ribosomal RNA". It matches the Rfam family "Bacterial small subunit ribosomal RNA", at positions 27 to 507 of the family's 1533-position model. The record is from RNAcentral.
GGACGAACGCUGGCGGCGUGCUUAACACAUGCAAGUCGAACGGAAAGGCCCUGCUUGCAGGGUGCUCGAGUGGCGAACGGGUGAGUAACACGUGGGUGAUCUGCCCCUUACUUUGGGAUAAGCCUGGGAAACUGGGUCUAAUACUGGAUAGGACCAUGCUGUAGGUGGUGUGGUGGAAAGAUUAGUUUCGGUAAGGGAUGAGCUCGCGGCCUAUCAGCUUGUUGGUGGGGUAAUGGCCUACCAAGGCGUCGACGGGUAGCCGGCCUGAGAGGGUGGACGGCCACAUUGGGACUGAGAUACGGCCCAGACUCCUACGGGAGGCAGCAGUGGGGAAUAUUGCACAAUGGGCGCAAGCCUGAUGCAGCGACGCCGCGUGGGGGAUGACGGCCUUCGGGUUGUAAACUCCUUUCAGCCAUGACGAAGCCCUUGUGGUGACGGUAGUGGUAGAAGAAGCACCGGCUAACUACGUG